RNAcentral lists this ribosomal RNA (1485 nucleotides) under Triticum aestivum (bread wheat). RNAcentral describes it as "partial small subunit ribosomal RNA". The record is from RNAcentral. Lineage: Eukaryota; Viridiplantae; Streptophyta; Magnoliopsida; Poales; Poaceae.
AUGGUGCCACGGUUCUGCUCGGCAAUUGAAGGAUGGAUAAUAAUUGUCUCAGGAGUCAAAGAAGAUGCAGAAGAAAGUGAUCUCUAUGAUGCUUUUGCUGAGUUUGGUGAGGUCAAGGACUUGCAUUUGAACCUGGAGCGCCGCACUGGAUAUGUCAAGGGAUAUGCAUUGGUUGAAUAUGGAAUUUUUGAGGAAGCACAAACUGCAAACAGAAUAAUGAAUGGGACAGAGCUGUUAACAAAGACUAUCCAUGUUGAUUGGGCAUUCAACAGAGGUGGGCUUCGCUGCCAUGGAAUGACACCUCUGAUCUUCCAUGUAGAUGAGCUCGGGUUCAUGGAAGCCAUGUCCAAGCAAACUGAGUGCUUUGAAGUAUAUUACCCUUGCAAUGUGAUGGAACCAGUAGACAUUAUACCAUUGAGUGCAAUUCCCUAUGGGCAAGCCUUAAAUCAUUAUCUUGAACAGAUAGUUUCACUUUUUCGCGACAGAAUAUAUGCUGUGAAUGAAAUCGGCCUUGAUGACCGCUAUUUAGAAUUUAGGCAAGUGGAAGGAGAUGGGGAGUGUUUCUACAGGAGCUUCAUAUUUUCCUACCUUGAGCAAGUUCUUGAUAGGAAAGACACAAAUGAGGAACGCCGCCUCCUUGCAGCUAUCCAAGAGUUGGCUGAGGAACCUGCACGUUUUGGAUGGGCCUCUGAAUUUUCUAGGAGCCAUGAUGUUAAUGUCAAGGGCUUGAAAGGUGUGAGGGAAGUAAACAUGGAUCUGAUGAUCUUCCCUGCGAGGCGCUACAGAUCAGAUGGGCGCUGUUGUGAAGGCCGCGAAGGCGUGGCAGGUGGCAUGGGACCAAAUAGGGAAGAAAUCUUGCAUGCAGUCUCUCCAAAAGUGACUACUCAAAUGAAUCAUAGUCUAUGUGCGGAAUAUACAAAAGAGGAAGUGAAAGAAGCUCUGUUCAAUAUUGGUGACCUGAAGGCGCCAGGACCAGAUGGAAUGCCUACAAUAUUCUACAAGCAGUUCUCGCAACUGGUGGGCAAUAAGUUAACAGGGGAAGUGCUGAAGUUCCUUCGAGGUGGAGAAAUGCCGGAAGGAUGGAACGGUACCACAGUGGUGUUAAUUCCAAAAAUUUCAAACCCAGAGACCUUGAAGGACCUAAGAACAAUUAGCCUCUGCAAUGUCAUUUACAAGAGAAGGAGAAGGGGUAAGGUAGGAUAUGCUGUUGUAAAGCUCGACAUGAGUAAGGCUUACGGCCGAGUAGAAUGGACAUUCUUGAAGGAAAUGAUGUUAAAAUUGGGGUUUGAUAGUGAAUGGGUAAACCUGGUGAUGAAGUGUGUUGCAACUGGGAGGUACCAGAUCAAAGUUCCAGUUGCUGUGACAACUGUACGUCUGGUUAGGGAGGCUGAGAUUAAACUCAGAAGACCUCGUCUUCACCUUAUUCCCCUUGAGCUAAGGACACCCAGUCCUCGCCCAAUCACUCUGGGGGUGGGCUAUUUAUAG